This 321-nucleotide long non-coding RNA is filed under the name Brassica rapa (field mustard). RNAcentral describes it as "long non-coding RNA (BRAP_LNC001017)". The record is from RNAcentral. Lineage: Eukaryota; Viridiplantae; Streptophyta; Magnoliopsida; Brassicales; Brassicaceae.
UCGUAAUGAGUACUAGACGUGAUAAUUAAUCUCAUACUAGAUUUUGACCCGCGCUUUCAAAGCGAGGGUUUUUUUUUGUUUUUUUUUUUCAAUUGACAAAUAUUUAGUAAAUGUCACAUUUUCAUAUAUUUGUGCUUUAUUUUAUAGAAGACUUAAAAUUUUUAUCUUUAUUUAUCGUAUUUCAUUUAAACGACUAUUUAUGUUAAAAAAAUUAAACUUUAUUUUUUUAAUGAAUUAAGUUGGUAUAACUCUGAUAAAUUAAUUUUAUUAUGGAGUUAAUAUUUUAAUUAAAAAAUUAUAUACUUUUAAUAAAGAUUUAUA